RNAcentral lists this long non-coding RNA (402 nucleotides) under Pan troglodytes (chimpanzee). RNAcentral's name for it is "long non-coding RNA NONPTRT012234". The record is from RNAcentral. Lineage: Eukaryota; Metazoa; Chordata; Mammalia; Primates; Hominidae.
CAGCUUCAGGGGAGAGAGCACAUUAAGGGUGCUGGGAUGGUAAUGGUUGAGAGGAAGCUGAAUGGUAGUAAGAGAGACAUUCUGUCCUGAGAACUCUGAUCCACUUGAUGCAGAUGAGCAGGUAACCAUGGAAGUCGUGAGCUGAGGCUGCAGAGUCUAGAGCCAGAGUGUGGAAUAAACUUGGGUCUCAAAUCACCCCUGGAGCAAAGCCCCCAUCUAAUCAGGAACUUCUACUUUCAACUUUACAUGCGUGAGAAAUGAACUUCUAUCAUGUUAGAGAAAUCCUUACACGGCGCCCUUGAGAGCUUUCAUACUGCAAGUCAUCCAUUUUCCUCCCCUCAAACCUGGCAUCGGUGUUUAUUGAAACAAAGCAAAAUAAAACAAAUAGACAAAGCUCUACCU